AAGCGAAACCGCCCCGGCCUGCUGGGGCGGUCUGCCGGACGUGGUUGUCCGGUACUGAUGAGCAGCCACCC
This 71-nucleotide non-coding RNA is filed under the name Pseudomonas fluorescens. RNAcentral also lists the same sequence under 6 other names. Lineage: Bacteria; Pseudomonadati; Pseudomonadota; Gammaproteobacteria; Pseudomonadales; Pseudomonadaceae. The record is from RNAcentral.